Molecule: transfer RNA, 69 nt
Filed under: Histeroidea sp. 4 KM-2017
Lineage: Eukaryota; Metazoa; Arthropoda; Insecta; Coleoptera
Description: tRNA-Gln
Source: RNAcentral
UACACUUUAGCAUAAGAUGUGCAUUAACUUUUGAUGUUAAGGGAAAUGGUUUGAUACCAUUAGGUGUAA